AACUAGAGUCUUGUAGAGGGGGGUAGAAUUUCAGGUGUAGCGGUGAAAUGCGUAGAGAUCUGAAGGAAUACCGGUGGCGAAGGCGGCCCCCUGGACAAAGACUGACGCUCAGAUGCGAAAGCGUGGGGAGCAAACAGGAUUAGAUACCCUGGUAGUCCACGCCGUAAACGAUGUCUACUCGGAAUUUGGUGCCUU
RNAcentral lists this ribosomal RNA (195 nucleotides) under uncultured bacterium. Its description in RNAcentral is "partial 16S ribosomal RNA". It matches the Rfam family "Bacterial small subunit ribosomal RNA", at positions 639 to 833 of the family's 1533-position model. The record is from RNAcentral.